Molecule: ribosomal RNA, 2145 nt
Filed under: Triticum aestivum (bread wheat)
Lineage: Eukaryota; Viridiplantae; Streptophyta; Magnoliopsida; Poales; Poaceae
Description: partial small subunit ribosomal RNA
Source: RNAcentral
AUGGCCUCUCCUCUCAUACUUCCCCUCCUUCUCCUCCUCCUCAUCCUGCCGCUUUCCGCCCCAUGGACGGCGGCCGACGACGACGGGGCGGUGGCGAGGUCGGCCUUCCCCAUGGACGGCGACGUAGCGUGGGUGGUGCAGGUCAGCGACCUCCACAUCAGCGCCUACCACCCGGACCGCGCUGCCGACCUAGCGAGCCUCCUCGGCACCGCCCUUCGCACCAUCCGCCCCCACCUCCUCCUGGUCUCCGGCGACAUCACCGAUGCAAAAAAUAGUAAAAGAACUACAUCCAGACAGGAUGCAGAUGAAUGGAUUACAUACAAGAAAACUAUUGAUGCAAUUGUUGCAAAAGGCGGUAUUGAUAAGAGGAGGAUAUUUGAUAUUAGAGGCAAUCAUGAUACAUAUGGAGUUCCCUAUAGAGGAAGCGAGUUGGACUUCUUUUCAACUUACAGUGUUAACUCACAGCUUGGCCAAUUAAGCACCAUUAAUAGCAUAAUCCUCCAGGGAGAUAGAAAUUAUCUAUUCCUGGGCAUAGAUGAUACAAUGAGUGUUGGCAUUCGGUUUCCUUCUAAUUUAUUUGGACACCCAACUGAUAAGAGGAUAGAAGCAGUUAACUCAGAAUUACAGUACUGGACCAAUCAUUCUAAUGUUCCGAUUACAAAAGUUGUAUUUGGACAUUUCCCUAUGUCGUUUACUACUUCGUCUGAAGUAGGACAGCGUUACGAAAGUGUGUUUGCAAGGCAUUCAAUUUCAGCAUACCUAUGUGGCCAUCUGCAUGCGAAAGUUAGUAAUCAGCUUUGGAGGCAUCAUCAAAUGAGAACAAAAGAGCGCUCUUCAAGCUUUUGGGAAUGGGAACUUGGAGACUGGAAAGAGUCCAGAUUGAUGAGGAUUUUAGCAAUAGACGGAGGCGCAGUCUCUUUCAUUGACCAUACGUUAAAACAGCCAUUCCAAACUUCUAUCUUGAUCACCUAUCCAACAGAUUCAAGAAAUAUGAAUAUAUUGGAAUCAAACAAGGGGCCACCUAGAAAUGAUAUAAACGCUCUUGUUUUCUCUGAAGAACUUAUUGUCAAUGUGAGUGCAAGAGUUUUUGAUUCUCAUAAUGAGUUCAAGAUAGUUGAGGAGAUGCCUCUGCAACUUGUUGCCAACUCUUCUGGUCACAAACCUUUCUUCCAUGCCAUGUGGAAUGCUAAAAAUUACAGAAGUCCGUCUCCUACUCGCUACUGGUUGCAAGUGUUUGUGCUAGAUUCUAAUGGUAAGAAGACUGUAAGUGAGCGAAGACCAUUUUCAGUUGAGGGCAAGAUAGCGAUUCUACACCGCCCAUGGCUCAACCGUUUGAUAUUUGAAAUUGAAUGGGAAGACGCUUAUAGAGUUCUUCUCUGGAGUAAUUUGGCCUUCACCAUUCUGUUGUUGCUCAUUCCCCAAAUCCUGUACCAUUUUUUAAAGAAAAAGUCAUCAUAUCAAAGGUGGGCCUUGUCAGUUCUAACAUCCCCUGUCCAGCAGCGAAAGGCUUGGUUUUGGUUGGUCUUGUUUUUAAUGGAGGGUGCAAACAGCAAACCGUUCUGGUUUUCUUUGUCCCUGUAUGUUCUUUGGAUCACCCAGAUGCCGUGGUUUUGGGGUCAUGCAACAUCUGAAAAUGGAGAAAUUGCUCAAAUGUACAUAUCUGGAUGGAGCGUACCUUCUUUUGGUAUGGCAAACUACAAGCUGAGCAGCCCAGAUGUGAUGGUGAUCACCCUGCCUUUCCUAUACCUGGUGGUUGUCCCUGUAGUAGUCCUUGCAUAUGGCUUGUUUGCAGAAAGGGCCGCGGCUUAUUUGCAGUACCAUAGAAGAGCAGAAGACAGAGCUAACACAGCAGAUACAACCGCUGAGGCAGCACGCUUUCUGCCAGGUUCUCCAGCUCCAGGAGCUUUAAUGAACCUAUCUUGCAAGAACAAGAUAAAGUUUGUGUUGAUCAAAUUUUUUGGUGGCUGGACAAGGAGGAUAAUUCUACUCGCGUGUUUGAUCACGGCCAUGAUACAUUUGAAGCUUUCUUCAAUGUUAAUGUCAGCCUAUGGGUCAACACCAGUUGCCUUGUCUCCUCCAUUAACAUGGAUGCCACUAUUACUAUUAAGUGUUGCUGCCUACUGUACAAUGCUCCCUGUAGGUUAG